Molecule: long non-coding RNA, 785 nt
Organism: Gossypium arboreum
Lineage: Eukaryota; Viridiplantae; Streptophyta; Magnoliopsida; Malvales; Malvaceae
Exons: 3
Source: RefSeq, a predicted model, not a curated record
AACCUUAAGCCCAACUUCAAAAGAAACAGGGCAAAAACCAAAAGAACCCUAAUCCUAAAGCAUUUACAGCCAAAUACUCCAUUUUGGUCCUCCAUGUCUUCUCUGCAAACAAAUAGUCAUUUUAGUGCUCCAGAGGAUGCCCAAAUCUUCUUCAUGAAACCAACAGAGAAUACCCCUUCAGAUAAUUAUUUGAACUUGUAAUUUCAUAUCCUAGCAACAGGAUCCUGUGAAUCUGAGUCUUUCUUCAGGUUUCAUGGGUAGAAAACUAAACCACUGCAUUUCCCCCUAUCUCUGCAGUCCAUUCCUCUACAAUGACCAGAACCCAGACAAGUUUCACUCCCAUCUUUAGGCCUCUCUUUAGCCAAGGGUCCAUCUUAUGCCUAGACUGGUCCAAACAUCAAUAGCAAAAGGGCACUCCCUAAAGACAUGUUUGGUGGUCUUAAGACAGUCGGAGCAUUGGGAGCAGUUAGUUGAGUUCCCAAGUCGUCGCUGGUAAAGAUUAGAUAAAGUAGGGAUAAAGUUAUUAAGAGUUUUCCAAAUUAGGAUUUUAAUUUUUGAGGGCAAAUCCACCGCCUAGAGCUUCUUGUACAUGGUUUUGUAAAAGUCGAUGUUAGCUUGUAAAGUAAUUGGGUUAUCAUCUGUAAUAAUUUUAUAUAACCACUCCGUACUGAGUAUGAUCCCGAAGCUUCACCAUGCUAAACCAAUCUAUCAGCUUCUUUCUCCAUAGGGAGGGGAAUGCAAAGAAUUCUUUCAGCAUCAUCUGCAUGAAAGGUACUUUUGAUCAA